GAAAAAGUCAUAGGGGUUAUGAGGCUGGCUUGAAACCAGCCUUAGGAGGUUCAAUUCCUUCCUUUUUUG
Pan troglodytes (chimpanzee) is the source of this 69-nucleotide transfer RNA. It matches the Rfam family "tRNA". From Rfam's summary of the family: Transfer RNA (tRNA) molecules are approximately 80 nucleotides in length. NCBI's taxonomy places the organism in Eukaryota, Metazoa, Chordata, Mammalia, Primates, Hominidae. The record is from Rfam.